GGCGGCAUGCCUUACACAUGCAAGUCGAACGGCAGCACGGGGGCAACCCUGGUGGCGAGUGGCGAACGGGUGAGUAAUACAUCGGAACGUGUCCUGUAGUGGGGGAUAGCCCGGCGAAAGCCGGAUUAAUACCGCAUACGAUCUACGGAAGAAAGCGGGGGAUCCUUCGGGACCUCGCGCUAUAGGGGCGGCCGAUGGCAGAUUAGCUAGUUGGUGGGGUAAAGGCCUACCAAGGCGACGAUCUGUAGCUGGUCUGAGAGGACGACCAGCCACACUGGGACUGAGACACGGCCCAGACUCCUACGGGAGGCAGCAGUGGGGAAUUUUGGACAAUGGGGGAAACCCUGAUCCAGCAAUGCCGCGUGUGUGAAGAAGGCCUUCGGGUUGUAAAGCACUUUUGUCCGGAAAGAAAACUUCUGCCCUAAUACGGCGGGAGGAUGACGGUACCGGAAGAAUAAGCACCGGCUAACUACGUGCCAGCAGCCGCGGUAAUACGUAGGGUGCGAGCGUUAAUCGGAAUUACUGGGCGUAAAGCGUGCGCAGGCGGUUCGUU
Molecule: ribosomal RNA, 553 nt
Filed under: uncultured beta proteobacterium
Lineage: Bacteria; Pseudomonadati; Pseudomonadota; Betaproteobacteria
Description: bacterial SSU rRNA
Rfam family: Bacterial small subunit ribosomal RNA
Source: RNAcentral